CGUAACUUUUCUCUUUGUACAUUUUUUUCUUCCAACCGUGGCUUUUCUUGAUAGAUAACCGGGCAUCAAGUCUUUCCUCCCAUCUUCUCCCAUGUUUCUUUCUUUUCUCUUUCCUCUUCAUGAAUUAUCUUCCCUUUUUCCUCCCUCAUAACAGAACCUAAGAAGGAUUUGGUGGUUUGGCUUAAAAUCCCAAGAAUAUUCGAGAGUAAGCCGGUUGUCACUCCGAUUAAGUGUGACCCUUGUGCACAAGUGAACUCUAGCUAGAGAACCCUUGAGUCACCGACAGGCUGUUAGACAUGGCUGGGGUCAGAGUCUAUGAUUUUACGUGGCUAGGCCACAAGUUGUUAUACUCGGUUGCGACCGCCUAAUUUUCUCCAAUGUCGAUCAACAUCGUUGAGACUACCAUGGCAUGUGGAGAUCCGGUGGAGCGGAGCUCCUAGAUGCUAUUACGUGGAAGCGAGUCCAGCAUCUCGAGGCUGGCUACAACCUAGGUAAUGGCAUCUCUAGACUUCCACUCAGAGUCGCUUCGCUGCCUAAAAGUCGUUUGUGUCAAAUAGUCAGGCUUGUAAUAAUUAAUAGUUACUGAAAA
This is a long non-coding RNA of Theobroma umbraticum, 589 nucleotides long. RefSeq lists it as uncharacterized. The record is from RefSeq and is a predicted model, not a curated record. NCBI's taxonomy places the organism in Eukaryota, Viridiplantae, Streptophyta, Magnoliopsida, Malvales, Malvaceae.